UUUCUUUUUCUUUUACAGCAAUUCACGUAGGAUAUAUAAAACAAAUGUUCGUCUAUACUAGACUUAUAUACAUGAGUUGAACUGAAAUAGUUAAAACAACAACAAUGCAAACAGCAGAUAAGCUAGACACUCGGCGGGACGCUCGUAGUUUUCUUGCGUUUGCGUGUGGACGCUCUAUAUGGGUUAGACAUGUUAUGAAGUCAACACCAAUGUCUCAUCUGACUCUCUUCAAGAUUGGCUCUGAACGUAAAACUUGCAUCUUUGUAUCCGACUGGAAACAACAACACAACAUGUGG
Raphanus sativus (radish) is the source of this 296-nucleotide long non-coding RNA. RefSeq lists it as uncharacterized. Lineage: Eukaryota; Viridiplantae; Streptophyta; Magnoliopsida; Brassicales; Brassicaceae. The record is from RefSeq and is a predicted model, not a curated record. The transcript is spliced from 2 exons.